RNAcentral lists this ribosomal RNA (49 nucleotides) under Tropaeolum majus (nasturtium). RNAcentral's name for it is "partial 5.8S ribosomal RNA". The record is from RNAcentral. Lineage: Eukaryota; Viridiplantae; Streptophyta; Magnoliopsida; Brassicales; Tropaeolaceae.
GUUGCGCCCGAAGCCGCCAGGCUAAGGGCACGUCUGCCUGGGUGUCACG